UUCCUGGACUCAGUGGCAAUGUGAAGCCAUC
RNAcentral lists this non-coding RNA (31 nucleotides) under Mus musculus (house mouse). The record is from RNAcentral. Lineage: Eukaryota; Metazoa; Chordata; Mammalia; Rodentia; Muridae.